GAUGAACGCUAGCGGGAGGCUUAACACAUGCAAGUCGAGGGGCAGCACGAGGUAGCAAUACUUUGGUGGCGACCGGCAGACGGGUGAGUAACGCGUAUGUAACCUACCCUGUACAGGGGGAUAACCCGGAGAAAUUCGGACUAAUAUCCCAUAAUAUUAUAAGAGGGCAUCUGAUUAUAAUUAAAGUUCCGGCGGUACGGGAUGGGCAUGCGUAACAUUAGCUAGUUGGUAAGGUAACGGCUUACCAAGGCUGUGAUGUUUAGGGGUCCUGAGAGGGUGGUCCCCCACACUGGUACUGAGACACGGACCAGACUCCUACGGGAGGCUG
RNAcentral lists this ribosomal RNA (328 nucleotides) under uncultured Bacteroidota bacterium. RNAcentral describes it as "bacterial SSU rRNA". It matches the Rfam family "Bacterial small subunit ribosomal RNA", at positions 28 to 351 of the family's 1533-position model. Lineage: Bacteria; Pseudomonadati; Bacteroidota. The record is from RNAcentral.